GUGACAGGCACUGCCUGGCACACGGGCAGGGAGCUGUGUGCAGGCUGUGGACCACAGAGGAGGCACAGGUUUCCCUUUGCAGGACUGAAGGACCACCUGGUUAUCACCGUGUGCUACCAGAGAAGACCCCCAGUGCUCUCCAGAAGGCCUCUCUGUCUGCUCUCCUGGGGCCGUUUCUAAUAAAGCCAACUACAGAAAAACAGAUUCAGCUUCCUCCAGAUGCAUGGAGACAAGAAGUAGAAGUUUUGCCAGUUCUCUGCAUCCUCCUCUGACUCUGCCCCAGUGAGCCCUUCCUGCUGGCACUUCAGGAUCCACAGUGCAGCUCCAUCGACCAGGUUCUUCCACUGGCAGCAGACCAGGCGACACACAAGCACCAGAUCCACUGCAGGUAUGGCAGCCAGGAUUCGGAUCAGGACUGCUUCAGGGAGGGACUCCAUCCCUGGGCUCAGCAGCGUCAGACA
This is a long non-coding RNA of Manacus vitellinus (golden-collared manakin), 461 nucleotides long. RefSeq lists it as uncharacterized. Lineage: Eukaryota; Metazoa; Chordata; Aves; Passeriformes; Pipridae. The record is from RefSeq and is a predicted model, not a curated record. The transcript is spliced from 3 exons.